Molecule: ribosomal RNA, 1342 nt
Filed under: Saccharum spontaneum (wild sugarcane)
Lineage: Eukaryota; Viridiplantae; Streptophyta; Magnoliopsida; Poales; Poaceae
Description: bacterial SSU rRNA
Rfam family: Bacterial small subunit ribosomal RNA (bases 169-1342)
Source: RNAcentral
ACAACGUUCUUAAUCUAUUGCAAAAUUUUUAGAAAGUUGUUUUUGUUUAUGGGGGAAGGGAGUAACAUGCCAAUAUAAAACCCUUUAACUGGAUGUAGCAACUCUUGCAGGUCUUGAAGUUGCUCUUUCUCACCGUGGAGAUAUGGUACCAUUCGAUUAGACCACACAGCAUUUUGGGGAGUCUUCCUGAUUAGGCACUUAUGGAAUAUACAUGAUCCUAGAUCACCCCACAACCACCUCAAAAACAAUUAACAGAUACUAGUAUCUCGUCCGAUAAGCAUAGGCUAACUCUGUGCCAGCAGCCGCGGUAAGAAGAGGAUGCAAGCGUUAUCCGGAAUGAUUGGGCGUAACAGUUUAAAGCGUCUGUGGUGGCUUUUCAAGCCGCCGUCCAAAUCCCAGGGCUAACCCUGGACAGGCGGUGGAAACUACCAAGCUGGAGUACGGUUAGGGGCAGAGGGAAAGUUCCGGUGGAGCGGUGAAAGCAUUGAGAUCGGAAAGAACACCAACGCGAAAGCAAUCUGCUGGCCGACCACUGACAAUGAGAGGACGAAAGCUAGGGGAGGCAAAUUGGGAUUGAGGACCCCAGUAGUCCAGCCGUAAACGAUGGAUACUAGGCCCUGCGCCGUGUGCGACACGACCCGUGCAGUGCUGUAGCUAACGCGUUAAGAUCCAGCAUGGGAGAGUACUUCGCAAGAAUUUAAACUUCAAAUUACAUUGACGUGGUGGUCCCUCACAAAUCGUGAUCAUGUGUUUAAUUCGAUGCAAAGCCGAAGAACCUUACCAGGCUUGACAUGCCGCGAAAUCCUCUUGAAAGAGAGGGGUCAGCCCUCGGGAACGCGGACAACAGGUGCGUGCAUGGCUGUCGUCAGCUCGUGCCGCGUAUUAAGGUGUUGGGUUACGUCUCGCAACGAGCGCAACCCUCGUGUGUAGUUGCCACUAUGAGUUUGAACCCUGAACAGAACCGCCGGUGUUAAGCCGGAGAAGGAGAGGAUGAGGCAAUCAUCAUGCCCCUUAUGCACCUGGGCGACACACGUGCACAAUGGGCGGGACAAAGGUCGCAUCUCGCGAGGUGAGCUAACUCCAAAAACCCGUCCUCAGUUCGGAUUGCAGGCUGCAACUCGCCUGACAUGAAGCAGGAUCGACUAGUAUCGCCGGUCAGCCAUACGGCGGUUUGAUGAAUCCGUUCCCGGGCAUUUUGGACACACCGCCGUGUCACAAUAUAGAGCUGGCAGUUUGAAAGUCAUUACCCUUACCGUAAGGAGGGGGAUGCCUAAAGGCUAGGAUUGCGGACUGGAGUGAGGAAGUGAAGCGUAACAAGGUAGCGUACGGGAAGGUGGGGGAU